This 500-nucleotide ribosomal RNA is filed under the name uncultured bacterium. Its description in RNAcentral is "bacterial SSU rRNA". It matches the Rfam family "Bacterial small subunit ribosomal RNA", at positions 28 to 524 of the family's 1533-position model. The record is from RNAcentral.
GAUGAACGCUAGCGGCAGGCCUAACACAUGCAAGUCGGACGGUAAAAGCUGUAGCAAUACAGUUUGAGAGUGGCAAACGGGUGAGUAACGCGUAUGCAACCUUCCCUUGACUGGGGGAUAGCUCGGAGAAAUUCGGAUUAAUACCCCAUAAGAUUAUGGUGCGGCAUCGCACAGUAAUUAAAGAUUUAUUGGUCAAGGAUGGGCAUGCGUGCCAUUAGCUAGUUGGUAAGGUAACGGCUUACCAAGGCAACGAUGGCUAGGGGGUCUGAGAGGAUGGUCCCCCACACUGGUACUGAGACACGGACCAGACUCCUACGGGAGGCAGCAGUGAGGAAUAUUGGUCAAUGGGCGCAAGCCUGAACCAGCCAUGCCGCGUGAAGGAAGAAGGCCCUAAGGGUUGUAAACUUCUUUUGUAGGGGGGUAACACUGUGCUCGUGAGCAUGGAUGAAAGUACUCUACGAAUAAGCGUCGGCUAACUACGUGCCAGCAGCCGCGGUAAU